UUUUUUGUAAGUAAUUACAUAGGUAUGUCAUUAGAAAUAAGAUUUUAAAGAGUAAAUUAAUUUAUUUCUUU
This 71-nucleotide small RNA is filed under the name Arabidopsis thaliana (thale cress). RNAcentral's name for it is "ATSL013500". Lineage: Eukaryota; Viridiplantae; Streptophyta; Magnoliopsida; Brassicales; Brassicaceae. The record is from RNAcentral.